Cinara cedri is the source of this 431-nucleotide non-coding RNA. The record is from the annotation of a GenBank genome assembly. Lineage: Eukaryota; Metazoa; Arthropoda; Insecta; Hemiptera; Aphididae.
UUAUCGCUUCACUCAGAAUCUAAAAUACAAAAACGCAUCAUAAUAAAACUAAACAGUAGACCUCUUUACUAUGCUCCAAAUCUAAAACAAAUAAAUGUAAGUCAAUCUCGGUCACAAAAAACUGUAUCCCAAACAUAUAUCUUUUACCUGCAAAACACAAUGAAGAAGAAAUGGAAAAUAAAAUUCAAAUGUGCAAAAGAUAAUUUAGCAAACAUGUGAUGUAAGUACCUGCAUUAAAUAAAUUUGUAACCGAUAUUUAUAAAUAAUUAAUUUGUCACAAGUUCUAUCUACAGACUUCAUAGGCAAAAAUACCUAUAAUAUGAAAUUAUUUUAAAUUAAAUUUUCUUAACUUAUUUUAGGUAUGCUAUACAAUUUUGAUUUCUAGCUACAAUAUAAUAAUAAGAUACAAUUAAUUGUAUGAUAAUUAGGGU